AGUGAAGACGUCAGUGUUGUGUUUACAUGUGUGGAUGUGAGUGUCUGUAAGCGCAGCUUUCUAUUUCAUUUAGGUGAUAUUAAGUUUAUAUCUGUAUUUAUUUACUCCUACACUAUAUUGUUGAGAUGAUUUCUUAUAGAAGGAAUAGUACAGACAAAUGAUAUAAUUUGUCAUCGUCGAUAUCAGAAUACUGGAUAGCCUACUCGUGGUAAGUCAGAUUUAUUUAUUUAUUUUUUAUUAAUUAAUACUAAACUAAUACUAUUUAUAAUACAGUACUUGCUUUUUCAGGUGGAGAGGCAUAUUAGAGCUCAGUGAGAGCCCAUAACAUUAUACAGCAGUGUCGUCUUGAUUUAAUUGGGAGUUGAGCAACUUUUCCAUAAACAAAAUUCUGAUGCUGACAGAGGAUGGAGUGAUAAUACCAGAGAUAAACUGUCUCCAUCAGACAAUAAUGUUACUUUGUUCAGACAUAUCACCUUUGAAUGACUGGGAUCCUGAUCUUCAGACACCUGAUGUAUUUUAUUUUAAUAUUAUAAAAUAGCAAAUAUUUUAAUUUCUUUGGAGCUCUAGAUUAAAACAAACACAGU
This is a long non-coding RNA of Rhinichthys klamathensis goyatoka, 584 nucleotides long. RefSeq lists it as uncharacterized. The record is from RefSeq and is a predicted model, not a curated record. The transcript is spliced from 2 exons. Lineage: Eukaryota; Metazoa; Chordata; Actinopteri; Cypriniformes; Leuciscidae.